UACGUAGGGUGCAAGCGUUGUCCGAAAUUAUUGGGCGUAAAGAGCUCGUAGGCGGUCUGUCGCGUCUGCUGUGAAAACUCAGGGCUUAACCCUGAGCUUGCAGUGGGUACGGGCAGACUAGAGUGCGGUAGGGGAGACUGGAAUUCCUGGUGUAGCGGUGAAAUGCGCAGAUAUCAGGAGGAACACCGAUGGCGAAGGCAGGUCUCUGGGCAUUAACUGACGCUGAGGAGCGAAAGCAUGGGGAGCGAACAGG
This 253-nucleotide ribosomal RNA is filed under the name uncultured bacterium. Its description in RNAcentral is "partial 16S ribosomal RNA". It matches the Rfam family "Bacterial small subunit ribosomal RNA", at positions 524 to 776 of the family's 1533-position model. The record is from RNAcentral.